This 468-nucleotide ribosomal RNA is filed under the name uncultured bacterium. RNAcentral's name for it is "partial 16S ribosomal RNA". It matches the Rfam family "Bacterial small subunit ribosomal RNA", at positions 28 to 507 of the family's 1533-position model. The record is from RNAcentral.
GACGAACGCUGGCGGCGUGCUUAACACAUGCAAGUCGAACGGAAAGGCCCUGCUUUUGUGGGAUGCUCGAGUGGCGAACGGGUGAGUAACACGUGAGUAACCUGCCCUUGACUUUGGGAUAACUUCAGGAAACUGGGGCUAAUACCGGAUAGGAGCUCCGGCUGCAUGGUGGGGGUUGGAAAGUUUCGGCGGUUGGGGAUGGACUCGCGGCUUAUCAGCUUGUUGGUGGGGUAGUGGCUUACCAAGGCUUUGACGGGUAGCCGGCCUGCGAGGGUGACCGGCCACAUUGGGACUGAGAUACGGCCCAGACUCCUACGGGAGGCAGCAGUGGGGAAUAUUGCACAAUGGGCGGAAGCCUGAUGCAGCAACGCCGCGUGCGGGAUGACGGCCUUCGGGUUGUAAACCGCUUUCGCCUGUGACGAAGCGUGAGUGACGGUAAUGGGUAAAGAAGCACCGGCUAACUACGUG